UACAGAGGGUGCAAGCGUUAAUCGGAGUUACUGGGCGUAAAGGGCGCGUAGGUGGUUAUUUAAGUUUGAUGUGAAAGCCCUGGGCUUAACCUAGGAACUGCAUUGAAUACUGGGUAACUUGAGUACUGUAGAGGGUAGUGGAAUUUCCGGUGUAGCGGUGAAAUGCGUAGAGAUCGGAAGGAACACCAGUGGCGAAGGCGGCUACCUGGACAGAUACUGACACUGAGGCGCGAAAGCGUGGGGAUCAAACAGG
RNAcentral lists this ribosomal RNA (253 nucleotides) under uncultured bacterium. RNAcentral describes it as "partial 16S ribosomal RNA". It matches the Rfam family "Bacterial small subunit ribosomal RNA", at positions 524 to 776 of the family's 1533-position model. The record is from RNAcentral.